Molecule: ribosomal RNA, 667 nt
Filed under: uncultured Hypocreales
Lineage: Eukaryota; Fungi; Ascomycota; Sordariomycetes; Hypocreales
Description: eukaryotic LSU rRNA
Rfam family: 5.8S ribosomal RNA (bases 275-428)
Source: RNAcentral
AGCAUACCAAUAAGCGGAGGUCUUGGUCCAUUUAGAGGAAGUAAAAGUCGUAACAAGGUCUCCGUUGGUGAACCAGCGGAGGGAUCAUUACCGAGUUUACAACUCCCAAACCCAAUGUGAACCAUACCAAACUGUUGCCUCGGCGGGGUCACGCCCCGGGUGCGUCGCAGCCCCGGAACCAGGCGCCCGCCGGAGGGACCAACCAAACUCUUUCUGUAGUCCCCUCGCGGACGUUAUUUCUUACAGCUCUGAGCAAAAAUUCAAAAUGAAUCAAAACUUUCAACAACGGAUCUCUUGGUUCUGGCAUCGAUGAAGAACGCAGCGAAAUGCGAUAAGUAAUGUGAAUUGCAGAAUUCAGUGAAUCAUCGAAUCUUUGAACGCACAUUGCGCCCGCCAGUAUUCUGGCGGGCAUGCCUGUCCGAGCGUCAUUUCAACCCUCGAACCCCUCCGGGGGGUCGGCGUUGGGGAUCGGGAACCCCUAAGACGGGAUCCCGGCCCCGAAAUACAGUGGCGGUCUCGCCGCAGCCUCUCCUGCGCAGUAGUUUGCACAACUCGCACCGGGAGCGCGGCGCGUCCACGUCACGUAAAACACCCAACUUCUGAAAUGUUGACCUCGCGUCACGUAAGAAUACCCGCUGAACAUAAGCAUAUCAAUAAGCGGAGGAAA